GGGGAUAUAGUUCAGUUGGUAGAGUGUUUGCUUGCCUCACAUGCACAAGGCCCUGGGUUCAACCCCCAGUACCACCA
Non-coding RNA from Ictidomys tridecemlineatus (thirteen-lined ground squirrel), 77 nucleotides. The record is from Rfam. Lineage: Eukaryota; Metazoa; Chordata; Mammalia; Rodentia; Sciuridae.